GUGUCAGCAGCCGCGGUAAGACGAACCGUGCAAACGUUGUUCGGAAUCACUGGGCUUAAAGGGCGCGUAGGCGGGCCAGCCAGUCUGUGGUGAAAGCCUCCAGCUUAACUGGAGAAGUGCCGUGGAUACUGCUGGCCUCGAGGAGGAUAGGGGCAUCUGGAACGGUCGGUGGAGCGGUGAAAUGCGUUGAUAUCGACCGGAACUCCGGUGGCGAAGGCGAGGUGCUGGGUCCUUUCUGACGCUGAUGCGCGAAAGCCAGGGGAGCAAACGGGAUUAGAUACCCCCGUAGUCC
Molecule: ribosomal RNA, 292 nt
Filed under: uncultured bacterium
Lineage: Bacteria
Description: partial 16S ribosomal RNA
Rfam family: Bacterial small subunit ribosomal RNA
Source: RNAcentral